RNAcentral lists this ribosomal RNA (683 nucleotides) under uncultured fungus. Its description in RNAcentral is "eukaryotic LSU rRNA". The stretch from base 216 to 369 matches the Rfam family "5.8S ribosomal RNA". Lineage: Eukaryota; Fungi. The record is from RNAcentral.
CUUGGUCAUUUAGAGGAAGUAAAAGUCGUAACAAGGUUUCCGUAGGUGAACCUGCGGAAGGAUCAUUCAUAAUAAGUGUCUUAUGGCACUUUUUAAACCCAUAUCCACCUUGUGUGCAAUGUCAGUCGAUCUUCUUCAUGGAGAUCGACCAAACAUCAACCUUUAUCUUUUAACUCUUUGUCUGAAAAAUAUUAUGAAUAAACAAUUCAAAAUACAACUUUCAACAACGGAUCUCUUGGCUCUCGCAUCGAUGAAGAACGCAGCGAAAUGCGAUACGUAAUGUGAAUUGCAGAAUUCAGUGAAUCAUCGAAUCUUUGAACGCAUAUUGCGCUCUUUGGUAUUCCGAAGAGCAUGCUUGUUUGAGUAUCAGUAAACACCUCAAAGCUUUUGGAUUUUUUAAUCGAAAAGCUUUGGACUUGAGCAAUCCCAACACCAAUCUUUUUGAGAUCGGUGGCGGGUUGUUUGAAAUGCAGGUGCAGCUGGACAUUCUCCUGAGCUAAAAGCAUAUUCAUUUAGUCCCGUCAAACGGAUUAUUACUUUUGCUGCAGCUAACAUAAAGGGAGUUUGACCGUAUUGGCUGACUGAUGCAGGAUUUCACAAGGGUCGGCAACGAUUCUUGUUAAACUCGAUCUCAAAUCAAGUAAGACUACCCGCUGAACUUAAGCAUAUCAAUAAGCGGAGGA